RNAcentral lists this ribosomal RNA (1140 nucleotides) under Bacillus cereus group sp. N11. RNAcentral describes it as "partial 23S ribosomal RNA". It matches the Rfam family "Bacterial large subunit ribosomal RNA", at positions 1678 to 2826 of the family's 2925-position model. Lineage: Bacteria; Bacillati; Bacillota; Bacilli; Caryophanales; Bacillaceae. The record is from RNAcentral.
AUCCUAAGGUGUGCGAGAGAACUCUGGUUAAGGAACUCGGCAAAAUGACCCCGUAACUUCGGGAGAAGGGGUGCUUUCUUAACGGAAAGCCGCAGUGAAUAGGCCCAAGCGACUGUUUAGCAAAAACACAGGUCUCUGCGAAGCCGUAAGGCGAAGUAUAGGGGCUGACACCUGCCCGGUGCUGGAAGGUUAAGGAGAGGGGUUAGCGUAAGCGAAGCUCUGAACUGAAGCCCCAGUAAACGGCGGCCGUAACUAUAACGGUCCUAAGGUAGCGAAAUUCCUUGUCGGGUAAGUUCCGACCCGCACGAAAGGUGUAACGAUUUGGGCACUGUCUCAACCAGAGACUCGGUGAAAUUAUAGUACCUGUGAAGAUGCAGGUUACCCGCGACAGGACGGAAAGACCCCGUGGAGCUUUACUGUAGCCUGAUAUUGAAUUUUGGUACAGUUUGUACAGGAUAGGCGGGAGCCAUUGAAACCGGAGCGCUAGCUUCGGUGGAGGCGCUGGUGGGAUACCGCCCUGACUGUAUUGAAAUUCUAACCUACGGGUCUUAUCGACCCGGGAGACAGUGUCAGGUGGGCAGUUUGACUGGGGCGGUCGCCUCCUAAAGUGUAACGGAGGCGCCCAAAGGUUCCCUCAGAAUGGUUGGAAAUCAUUCGUAGAGUGCAAAGGCAUAAGGGAGCUUGACUGCGAGACCUACAAGUCGAGCAGGGACGAAAGUCGGGCUUAGUGAUCCGGUGGUUCCGCAUGGAAGGGCCAUCGCUCAACGGAUAAAAGCUACCCCGGGGAUAACAGGCUUAUCUCCCCCAAGAGUCCACAUCGACGGGGAGGUUUGGCACCUCGAUGUCGGCUCAUCGCAUCCUGGGGCUGUAGUCGGUCCCAAGGGUUGGGCUGUUCGCCCAUUAAAGCGGUACGCGAGCUGGGUUCAGAACGUCGUGAGACAGUUCGGUCCCUAUCCGUCGUGGGCGUAGGAAAUUUGAGAGGAGCUGUCCUUAGUACGAGAGGACCGGGAUGGACGCACCGCUGGUGUACCAGUUGUUCUGCCAAGGGCAUAGCUGGGUAGCUAUGUGCGGAAGGGAUAAGUGCUGAAAGCAUCUAAGCAUGAAGCCCCCCUCAAGAUGAGAUUUCCCAUAGCGUAAGCU